RNAcentral lists this long non-coding RNA (211 nucleotides) under Lathyrus oleraceus (garden pea). RNAcentral describes it as "Pisum sativum (pea) long non-coding RNA (PSAT_LNC002245)". Lineage: Eukaryota; Viridiplantae; Streptophyta; Magnoliopsida; Fabales; Fabaceae. The record is from RNAcentral.
UAAAAGAGGGUCACUGGGUCACGUUAUUGGUUUCUAAAAUGGAGUUUGCAAAGAGAAAUAUGGACUAAAAAUUUGGACUUUAGGAUUGACCAUUUAACUUGUCACUCCAUUUGAAUCUGACACCCCCCAAACUCAAUGAAUUUACUAUAUUAACCAUCAAUUUGUCAAUUAUUUUUUAAAAUCCACUCAGAUUUUGUGCAGAUUACAAAAC